AGCCACUGCCCACAGCACACUG
This 22-nucleotide microRNA is filed under the name Rattus norvegicus (Norway rat). Its description in RNAcentral is "rno-miR-210-5p". Its record names the gene rno-miR-210-5p. Lineage: Eukaryota; Metazoa; Chordata; Mammalia; Rodentia; Muridae. The record is from miRBase by way of RNAcentral.